AAGGCCUUAGUUUAACAAAAACAUUUGAUUUGCAAUUAAAAAAUGCAAGAUAGAGUCUUGUAGGUCUUA
RNAcentral lists this transfer RNA (69 nucleotides) under Rhynchocypris percnurus (lake minnow). RNAcentral describes it as "tRNA-Ala". It matches the Rfam family "tRNA". Rfam says of the family: Transfer RNA (tRNA) molecules are approximately 80 nucleotides in length. Their secondary structure includes four short double-helical elements and three loops (D, anti-codon, and T loops). The record is from RNAcentral. Lineage: Eukaryota; Metazoa; Chordata; Actinopteri; Cypriniformes; Leuciscidae.